This 433-nucleotide ribosomal RNA is filed under the name uncultured bacterium. RNAcentral's name for it is "partial 16S ribosomal RNA". It matches the Rfam family "Bacterial small subunit ribosomal RNA", at positions 29 to 507 of the family's 1533-position model. The record is from RNAcentral.
AACGAACGCUGGCGGCAUGCCUAACACAUGCAAGUCGAACGAGACCUUCGGGUCUAGUGGCGCACGGGUGCGUAACGCGUGGGAACCUGCCCUUAGGUUCGGAAUAACUCCCCGAAAGGGGUGCUAAUACCGGAUAAUGUCUUCCGACCAAAGAUUUAUUGCCUUUGGAUGGGCCCGCGUUGGAUUAGCUAGUUGGUAGGGUAAAAGCCUACCAAGGCGACGAUCCAUAGCUGGUCUGAGAGGAUGAUCAGCCACACUGGGACUGAGACACGGCCCAGACUCCUACGGGAGGCAGCAGUGGGGAAUAUUGGACGAUGGGCGAAAGCCUGAUCCAGCAAUGCCGCGUGAGUGAUGAAGGCCUUAGGGUUGUAAAGCUCUUUUACCCGGGAUGAUAAUGACAGUACCGGGAGAAUAAGCUCCGGCUAACUCCGUG